Molecule: ribosomal RNA, 394 nt
Filed under: uncultured bacterium
Lineage: Bacteria
Description: bacterial SSU rRNA
Rfam family: Bacterial small subunit ribosomal RNA
Source: RNAcentral
AUUGAACACUGGCGGCAUGCCUAACACAUGCAAGUCGAACGGCAGCACGGCGGUAGCAAUACUGUGGGUGGCGAGUGGCGGACGGGUGAGGAAUACGUCGGAAUCUGCCCAGUCGUGGGGGAUAACUAGCCGAAAGGUUAGCUAAUACCGCAUACGACCGAGAGGUGAAAGCGGGGGACCGCAAGGCCUCGCGCGAUUGGAUGAGCCGACGUCGGAUUAGCUAGUUGGUGGGGUAAAGGCCCACCAAGGCGACGAUCCGUAGCUGGUCUGAGAGGAUGAUCAGCCACACUGGAACUGAGACACGGUCCAGACUCCUACGGGAGGCAGCAGUGGGGAAUAUUGGACAAUGGGCGCAAGCCUGAUCCAGCAAUGCCGCGUGUGUGAAGAAGGCCUC